This 199-nucleotide long non-coding RNA is filed under the name Carica papaya (papaya). RNAcentral describes it as "long non-coding RNA (CPAP_LNC007421)". The record is from RNAcentral. Lineage: Eukaryota; Viridiplantae; Streptophyta; Magnoliopsida; Brassicales; Caricaceae.
GAUAAUGAUAUAAAUUCAUUCAUAUCCUUGGAAUUAAUAUGUAGUCUCUAAUUUUCUCUAUAUUAUUAUCUUCACUUGAAUAGUAUAUUUGUUCAUUUUAGUGAUUGUAAGUCAUGUUUAUUUAUACAUACCAAGUGAAGAAUUUAUAUUUUUCAGAAGUAUAAUUGUCAUACCAUUUUUUACCUAUAAAAUAUGAUUU